GCGCCGAGCGUCCGGACGGCGGCCGGUAGCCGGGCGGUCCCGGGUUCGAAUCCCGGCGGCGCU
This 63-nucleotide transfer RNA is filed under the name Thermoproteus sp. Its description in RNAcentral is "tRNA-Leu". Lineage: Archaea; Thermoproteati; Thermoproteota; Thermoprotei; Thermoproteales; Thermoproteaceae. The record is from RNAcentral.